RNAcentral lists this long non-coding RNA (308 nucleotides) under Homo sapiens (human). RNAcentral describes it as "HSALNT0267053". The record is from RNAcentral. Lineage: Eukaryota; Metazoa; Chordata; Mammalia; Primates; Hominidae.
CAUAAUCCUCUUUGGAAUCUAUGUUUCUGUCAUUACAAUGCCAACCAGAUAAACUGUCCUGAGUCUGAGACCCACCUGGGAGAGAGCUUCCUUGCCGUGCAGGGAUAGGGCACUAAGCAAGGCACUGAGCAGGAGACUUGUCCUCUAGACUCGGCCUUUUACUGCUGCUCUCCACAAAGCCUCUCCCUGCAACUCGGGGACCAUUUCAUGAUGGAAACAUGUACAUGUUUAUAAUACACAGGUUGGAAGAAGGUAGGAAAUUGAAUUAGCAGGUCAAGAGAGUUGGGAGAAGCUAUACUGGCAUUAAC